GAUCAUGGCUCAGGAUGAACGCUAGCGACAGGCUUAACACAUGCAAGUCGGAGGGGCAGCGAGGGAGUGGCAACACUUCCGUCGGCGACCGGCGCACGGGUGAGUAACGCGUAUGCAACCUGCCCUUCACGAGGGGGAUAACCGGGAGAAAUUCCGACUAAUACCGCAUACGUCCGUCCGGGGGCACGUCCCCGGGGGGAUGAAAGAAUUAUCGGUGAAGGAUGGGCAUGCGUGAUAUUAGGUAGUUGGCGGGGACG
This 257-nucleotide ribosomal RNA is filed under the name uncultured bacterium. RNAcentral's name for it is "partial 16S ribosomal RNA". It matches the Rfam family "Bacterial small subunit ribosomal RNA", at positions 15 to 260 of the family's 1533-position model. The record is from RNAcentral.